AUGCCUAGGAAUCUGCCUGGUAGUGGGGGAUAACGUUCGGAAACGGACGCUAAUACCGCAUACGUCCUACGGGAGAAAGCAGGGGACCUUCGGGCCUUGCGCUUUCAGAUGAGCCUAGGUCGGAUUAGCUAGUUGGUGGGGUAAUGGCUCACCAAGGCGACGAUCCGUAACUGGUCUGAGAGGAUGAUCAGUCACACUGGAACUGAGACACGGUCCAGACUCCUACGGGAGGCAGCAGUGGGGAAUAUUGGACAAUGGGCGAAAGCCUGAUCCAGCCAUGCCGCGUGUGUGAAGAAGGUCUUCGGAUUGUAAAGCACUUUAAGUUGGGAGGAAGGGUUGUAG
This 342-nucleotide ribosomal RNA is filed under the name Pseudomonas fluorescens. Its description in RNAcentral is "bacterial SSU rRNA". It matches the Rfam family "Bacterial small subunit ribosomal RNA", at positions 113 to 458 of the family's 1533-position model. The record is from RNAcentral. Lineage: Bacteria; Pseudomonadati; Pseudomonadota; Gammaproteobacteria; Pseudomonadales; Pseudomonadaceae.